Molecule: ribosomal RNA, 252 nt
Filed under: uncultured bacterium
Lineage: Bacteria
Description: partial 16S ribosomal RNA
Rfam family: Bacterial small subunit ribosomal RNA
Source: RNAcentral
UACGUAGGGUGCAAGCGUUAAUCGGAAUUACUGGGCGUAAAGCGUGCGCAGGCGGUUUUGUAAGUCUGUCGUGAAAGCCCCGGGCUUAACCUGGGAAUUGCGAUGGAGACUGCAAGGCUUGAAUCUGGCAGAGGGGGGUAGAAUUCCACGUGUAGCAGUGAAAUGCGUAGAGAUGUGGAGGAACACCGAUGGCGAAGGCAGCCCCCUGGGUCAAGAUUGACGCUCAUGCACGAAAGCGUGGGAGCAAACAGG